GGUUGGGUCAAAAAGAUCGUGAAUUAUGUUAAAAUGACCGUCUUUUAAGAAAGCCUUGAAAACUAAAAAGUAGAUGUCCAUUUCAUGCUUUGCCCAGCCGGACAAAUUAUACAAAUGUCCGGAAUAUAUGACCGUUUUGGAAGCCUUGCCCCACAUUGUCAUUGGAGAAAUAAAAUAAGUGUAAGAAAAAAAAAUUGUAUCAAAAAAAAAAAUUGAAUCAUAAUUUCCUAUCAAUAUGCACAUCUACAUAGUAUGUCCUUAUUAUCUACACAGUUUCAUGAAAUUCUGUUGUGUGGUUUGAGAGGAGUUGCGAUGACAAAAGGUUGCAGAAGUAUAUUGGGCAAAUAAGUUCAAAGGGGCGUAACUCCUGGAAAAAAAAUUGAAUCGUAAUUUCCUGUCGAUAUGCACAUCUACAUAGUAUUUCCUUAUUAUCUUAAAAGGUUUCAUGAAAUUCUGUUGUGUGGUUUGAGAGGAGUUGCGAUGACAAAAGGUUGCAGUAGUAUAUUGGGCAAAUAAGUUCAAAGGGGCGUAACUCCUGGAAAAAAAAUUGAAUCGUAAUUUCCUGUCGAUAUGCACAUCUACGUAGUAUGUCCUUAUUAUCUGAAAAGGUUUCAUGAAAUUCUGUUGUGUGAUUUGAGAGGAGUUGCGAUGACAAAAUGUUGCAGUAGUACAUUAAAGUAAAUAAGUUCAAAGGGGCGUAACUCCUAGAAAAAGAAUUGAAUCGUAAUUUCCUGUUGAUAUGCACAACUACAUAGUAUGUCCUUAUUAUCUAAAAAGGUUUCGUGAAAUUCUGUUGUGUGGUUUGAGAGGAGUUGCGAUGACAAGAAACAGGACUGACGGACGGACAGACGGACGGGUCAAAAACAUUAUACCCUCCGCAACUCGUUGCGUGGGGUAUAAAUAGAAAUUCACAAAGCAAAAUAAAUUGCUUCGCUGAGCACAGCUGGAUACGACCGCAGAUGUCCAACCCUGAAAAGUUGGGGCAAAAAUGGACACAAUAUUCACGCUUGAUACAGGUUUGAAUUUGGAUUGUAAUUAAAUAUUUGACACAGAAUAACUGUAGUCAAAGAACUUAAAAAUUGGUUAUAUGAUUUGAAUAUAUAUUCAAUUUUUUGCUUUUGUGCAAUACACUAUGCUGUUGCAAAUAGUCCCCCCCCACAA
Long non-coding RNA from Mytilus californianus (California mussel), 1161 nucleotides. RefSeq lists it as uncharacterized. The transcript is spliced from 2 exons. Lineage: Eukaryota; Metazoa; Mollusca; Bivalvia; Mytilida; Mytilidae. The record is from RefSeq and is a predicted model, not a curated record.